GUUUGCAGUUAAACACCAAUUUAACCUUACCAACAAUGGAAAAUGGGCUGACCAUAUUCAAAAUAUGAUACAAAAAGUUUCAAAAAUGGUUUCCUCAAUGCAACUAUUAAAAUAUGUAUUGUGUAGGG
This is a long non-coding RNA of Haliotis rubra (blacklip abalone), 128 nucleotides long. RefSeq lists it as uncharacterized. The transcript has 3 exons. Lineage: Eukaryota; Metazoa; Mollusca; Gastropoda; Lepetellida; Haliotidae. The record is from RefSeq and is a predicted model, not a curated record.